UAGCUCUCCUGCUUGAUUAAUGAUGGUCACCAGUGGUUUACCCUUUAUUGCCAAUGCAAAAGGUGUUCACUGUUAUGCAGCAGAGUUGUGCUUGAACCACAAACUGCAAGGGACCUUAUGAUUAUCAUCUGGUGCAAAAAGCAAUACCAGUAAGCUGACCUGGGACACAUGUGAAGCACACCAAUGUCCUCCCAGAAAUCAUGCCUGAUGUUCCAGUUGACCUUCAAGCUACAGGAAGCUAGGCACAUUAGAUUUCUGUCGCUCUGCCUGGAUUUAGAAGAAGUCAAGUUUGUUUGAGUCAGAAGACAAGAGUGACAAAAAACUUCCAAUCAUAUGAUUAUUGCCAUUUGAGAACAGUCAAAAAGGGACCGGCAUUUGCAGUCUUCAUAUCAUUCUUAGAAAGGUCACGCUUUCAUUAAAUAAAUCAGUUUUCACGAGCAGA
Long non-coding RNA from Rhipicephalus microplus (southern cattle tick), 442 nucleotides. NCBI's taxonomy places the organism in Eukaryota, Metazoa, Arthropoda, Arachnida, Ixodida, Ixodidae. The record is from RefSeq and is a predicted model, not a curated record.